This 241-nucleotide long non-coding RNA is filed under the name Brassica napus (rape). Its description in RNAcentral is "long non-coding RNA (BNAP_LNC003464)". The record is from RNAcentral. Lineage: Eukaryota; Viridiplantae; Streptophyta; Magnoliopsida; Brassicales; Brassicaceae.
ACAUCGAACUCCCAAACGUCCUAAACAGACAUAGUCAUCUCGCAAAGAUGACUCUCGUACAUCCGACACAAGGAUAAUAGCGCUAUAAAAGAAAUCCGAAAUUUUGGUCCAGCACUUCCGGUUGGCUUAAAAAUUGUCUCCGGAGAGAUGCUCGAUUCAUAUCAAACAAGUCGUAUAAGCCGAGAACCUAUCACAGACUUUAAACUGGUACAAAUCAGGAAGAAAUUGCAACAUGAAAAAC